RNAcentral lists this ribosomal RNA (253 nucleotides) under uncultured bacterium. RNAcentral's name for it is "partial 16S ribosomal RNA". It matches the Rfam family "Bacterial small subunit ribosomal RNA", at positions 524 to 776 of the family's 1533-position model. The record is from RNAcentral.
UACAGAGGGGGCAAGCGUUAUUCGGAAUUAUUGGGCGUAAAGGGCGCGUAGGCGGCUUGGCAAGUGGAUGGUGAAAUCCCUCGGCUUAACCGAGGAACUGCCAUCCAGACUGCUUUGCUUGAGGCCGGGAGAGGUGAGUGGAAUUCCCAGUGUAGCGGUGAAAUGCGUAGAUAUUGGGAGGAACACCAGUGGCGAAGGCGGCUCACUGGACCGGUUCUGACGCUGAGGCGCGAAAGCGUGGGGAGCGAACAGG